UCUUUUUCUCUAAUUUGUACACUUGUUUUUUUUUUAUAAAAAAAAAAAAAAAAAAAAAAUUUACAAAAAACUUAUUCUAUACUAUAUUUUUGACUGUUAUAGCAGGUAAUCUAUCCUAUUUUUAUUUUAUAAUUGUGGUAGACAGCUUGCACGCACUUCGAUAAAUUUCAUAAGAUACCGUCCACCUCCAACCAGCAACAGAUAACUCUGUCGACCAAGACUAAGACAUAUGGAAUGAAUCACGUAGUAUUUUUAUCUUCGCUGGAAUAUAAACGUGACGAUAUCUUUAAUUGCUGUAUUGACGACUAGGUCACACCUUUCAUUUUUUUAACUCGAUGGUUACAACCAAACCUUGUCUAGAUUGUUUUAUUUUGAGCCGGGGGUCUAUCGGAAACAGCCUCUCUAUCUCACAUCUGAGGUAGUGGUAUGGACUGCUUACACUUACCCUCCCCAGACCCUACUUGGUGGGAAUAUACUGGGUAUGUUGUUGUUGUUGAUGGUUACAACCAAACGCAUGGUUUAUAUUAUACGCCAUAUAUCCAAACGUCUAUAAAAAGGUAAAAUGGCUGCCCAGUGCACAACCGAGAACCACAAGAGUCUAUUGUACGCAAAGUUAACCAGCGUUUCUGCAAGAUAUUCUUUCCACAACUCGAACCUGUUACCCCUGGUCGCAUGACAGCAACUUUACCAGUUACGCCAAGACAUCCACAAAAUAUCUCAUUACCAUAUAGUCCUCGUUCACAUGACAACAACUUUACCAAUUACGCCAAGACAUCCACAAAGUAUCUCAUCACCAUAUAGUCCCCGUUCACAUGACAACAACUUUACCGGUUACUCCAAGACAUCCACAAGAUAUCUCAUUACCAUAUAGUCCCCGUUCAUAUGACAACAACUUUACCAGUUACGCCAAGACAUCUACAAAAUAUCUCAUUACCAUAUAGUCCCCGUCCACAUGACAACUACUUUACCAGUUACGCCAGGACAUCCACAAGAUAUCUCAUUACCAUAUAGUCCCCGUUCACAUGACAACAACUUUACCAGUUACGCUAAGACAUUCCAAAAAUAUCUCAUUACCAUAUAGUCCCCGUCCACAUGACAACAGCUUUACCGAUUACGCCAAGACAUCCACAAAAUCUCUCAUUACCAUGUAGUCCCCGUUCACAUGACAACAACUUUACCAGUUACACCAAGACAUCUGCAAAGUAUCUCGUUACCAUAUAAUCCCCGUUUAACGAUCCUGCUAUUAUAACAAUCCCAGAAUAACUUGUUCGCAAAUGAAACAACUCCUCAAUGUGUAGAAGUUAAACUACUACUACUACAAUCAACAUAGUCUUCUUCUCUGUCAAGAAAAUUUGUAACCUUCAUGCUAAGCAAGGUUAGGUGAAUGACAGCAACUUUGAACAUCAACAACCUUAUUAUGAGUGAUUGCCAAUUGAUCAAUAGCUAGACCAACAACACAAAAUAGUAACAACAUUUUGAAUGAAACACACAAUGCAGCUCCUCAUAUCGCCGAGUUUGAGGCAUGUUACUGUCCUACCAGCCAAAGGUUUCAAGAAUUUCAUCAAAGUAAAAGUUGGCUCAAGACGAAUAUCGUACCUCGUGGUCUUCUAUUCCCUCCUGCUUUUUACAUUUCUUCUACGGUUUGUCUUCGUGUUAACCGCUGUGGACACCAUCGAUGGAGAACGAAAAUGUUCAACACUAGGUACGUUUCUCUCUUACUCUCUCCUCUGUCUAAACAGAAACUGAGUUCACCACAUCAAGAGGCAUGUAUAAGACAUUGUAUUAAUAUAGUGCUCGAGUUACUGCAGAUAUAAGAAGCAUUAGUUAAUAGUAAAAAUGAUGUUUCUAAACAUAGAAUGAUAUGAAAAUAUUUCAGCGCGAUAUAAUAUCAGAAUGCAGGUACAUCAGGAAACUUAUAAGGCCUCGUUUUGGUCCUGUAGAAUGAAUAUGAUACCUGACGAAAUGAACAUAUAAAAGAUUGGGAUAGCCGGGAUGACCUAUUUCAAGAUCAGAUGAUCCACCUCUUUGUCUGCAUGGAAGGCAAAACAUAAAUUACGAUGGUCGUCUUUAUGUUCUUACAAUUUCUAGAGAACUCUAAAGCAUGUAGAUGAACCAAAAAAUCUACAGAUCCAUGGAUUCAACUUAUCAAAAUCGAUUUAUAAUGUUAGCUAAAAAUACAUAAAGAACAUACGAAGACAGUAAAUUUACACUGUUUUCCCACUGAAGAAACUCUAAAUUUCAUUCUAAGGCAGGUUGCUUGGGGAGAAAAAUUGGACCAAGGAUUUUGGGGACACAGCUCGAAUCAACUGUAUGCUUCUAAGCCCCAUAUUUUUUGUCUUUUUAUGUGCAUAGUAUCUUUGAUAUCUCCUUUGAAUCGUGCUCGUCUAGAGGGAGAUUGGUGUUAUGGCCUAUUACAAAUGUUCUUCUAGUUAUUUCACACUUUACACAACAGAUCAGUACAAAAAAUAACACAGGAGAUCGGUAUAUGAAAGACAAGACAUCUUUGUAGAGUCAUUUACUUCAUUGUUACACAUCAAAAAAGAGUAGCUUAGUCAUAUACUCAUAUAUGUGUAAUUGUAGUACAAAGUAGUCUUAAGGAACUGGUCCUCUCUCGACUGCAAUUCACAGUUAUUCCCAUCAAUAACGUGAGAAAGAACGUGGUGCAAGAGAAGAGAAAACAAUUUCUCAGAAAGUGUCUAGGGGAGAUUGGUUUAAUCGCCUGUUGUUCUUUUAGUUAUUUCGCCUUUUCACAAGAGAUCAGCAAAAAAUUAACAUAAGAGGUCGGUAUAUGAAAGACGAGAGAUCUUUGUAGAGUCAUUUUCUUCUAUUAAAAUCACUAGCUCAAAUUCUUCAUUCUUCUGUACAUUGUUAGGUCCCUGAGGUGAUAUAUCAAGUAUUGGAAGAACCUUCAGACGAGGUUGAAAUCGAAGAAGGGCCUGAUACUCCUCAAUCAUUAGAAGAGUUUAUGGAAGAAAUGAAGGAUAUAAGGCCAGAUGCAGAAACUUUUGCUGUCAAGCUUAAAACUAUGGUAUUAUGUACUUACCAUGCCUUUUCAUCAUAUAUAGAAAUGAAGUAAUUUUAAGGUAACGUAUUAUGUCAUAGACAAAAAACUGCAUGCGAACAAAGAAUUUUACUUGGUUUACUUUCUCGACUAUUGUAAGAUGUCAGUCGUUUAAGUUGCGGAGACAGCCUCUUGUAGAAAUGCAAGGUGAGGCUGCUUGGACUCUUCAAAAUUGCCCACGGGUGUGUGCCGGAUACUUUAAAAGUAAUGCAUUUUUGAAAAGUUCAACAUGGGUGCGGCAACAUUUUUGGAGAGUCUGAGCAACAUUGCCCGCAGCAGACCAAUGGACGAACACCAGUUGAUAAUGGAGUAACAGCCAUGACACGUUCACAAUGUAAUAAUAUUAACUACUUAAGGUCUGACUAGUGUUGAAUUGUAUGACCAUCUCAUCGGAAGGCUUAAGCUAUUUGAGAGAGCAUGUUUUCAUUUACUAAAUUAUGUUGAAUUUCUUGAAGGUAACUCUCCUUGAACAAAGAACAAGAACUGCCAAGAUUCAAGAAUACCUUUAUCGGCAUGUGGCAUCUAGUGGCAUCCCGAAACAGCUGCACUGCCUUGAUCUCAAGCUAGCACACGAGCACUCCAUCAAUGCCAAUGCCCGUCUCCAGUUACCAUCAGCGGAACUUGUUCCUGCCCUCGUUGAUAAUUCAUACUU
This 3713-nucleotide long non-coding RNA is filed under the name Capsicum annuum. Its description in RNAcentral is "long non-coding RNA (CANN_LNC015041)". Lineage: Eukaryota; Viridiplantae; Streptophyta; Magnoliopsida; Solanales; Solanaceae. The record is from RNAcentral.